AACAAACUUGAGGGACAAAUUUGCAGAAGAUAUAAAAAAGAUAGAGAAUUUUGCAAAUAUCUUUGUUUCUCCUAAAAUGAUUGGACAGAAGGAGCCACUACGCCCUUUACUUAGUUUCUGCUUGCUGUAUCAGAACACACUUCUCAAGAAUUGGCAGCCCAAAUCUGAAAUAUAGCCAAUAUGCUAAUAUCUGAUAGGAACUGGUUUGCUAGAUGAUGAUUAAAUCCAUGAGAACUGAGGUGCAGGUCCAAGGGAGCCUGCAAAACAGCCUGAGCCCACGGCGACACCAGAUCUGCAGCCAGGCCUGCCGCGAACAGAAGUAACCAUUCUAUCCUUGUCAGACUUUAUGAGACAAUUUAGAUAUAAACAGCAUGAGUGGCAGCCAACUCCAGUCUUUCCAGUUCUCUCUCCUUCCCUCUGUAGCUGCGACUAAAACCUGCGCCAAUGACCCCGGGGAUCUGUAACACCCUUUGCCAGCAACAGAGGCCAGACAGUCAUUGAAUUGGAUAUAAACAAGACAGGAAUUAAGAAUGGAGAAUGGGCAGUCUGGACCUCCUAUGAAACCAUCUGGAGAAAACCCAGAUUCCCCAGAUGUAAUCUUAGGCUUUGGAGUUCAAAUCAGCAGCUGUGCCCUCAAGUAAAUGGAGGGCAUAGCUCCUCAAUGCCACGCUGUGACCUCAUCUCCCUGGAGACUGUCCAGCUCAAGGAGAGCAGCUUUAGAUAACAGCGCUCUAAACCGGAAUCCACUUCAGCCUCAGAGAAGACUUCAGUUCAGUUUCAUUAUUAUAGUACUAAAAGCAAGGGCAGAAUUAUCAUCACAUCAUUAAAUUGGAACUCAGAGACACUCACUGGUGUGGACCUACUGACGAAGCACACAGAAAACUCCAGAAGUUUUUUAUUAAUGAUCGUGUAUUUGAUAAUUGAAAGAAGCAUAUAUCAAAUUGGAUAAGUUUCAAGCACCCUCCCCCAAAUAAUAAGUUUAAAAAUUUCUCCUGUUUACUCCUAACUAAAUUUACAUCAUGGUUGGGUGUGCUACUGUUUAUUAAUUCACGCAGAUGGUAUCUAUUGAAUAUUGAACUUGUAUGAGGUGCUAGUCUAAAAUUUGUGAGUGGAAAGAAUAACUACAGAAUUGUAUGUUAUACUAAGAAAGACAGGCAUAAACAUAAAAACAAAGAAUAGGAAGCUAAAUUUAUUACACAUUGUGCUCUCUGUAUACAUACUGACAUGCAAGAAAGUAGAAUUAGAGUUCUGUGUGCAAAAGGAAGUGAUAAGUCCUUGGAACAAACAUUGAACUUUUGAGUCUGCUCUGGAUAUACCUUAGGGAAUCUUUGUUUUUGUAUAACACUGCCUAAAUUUGCUAGAGGUCUUUAAUUAUUUAGAAUAAUGGGUACAGACAGGAGACAUUAGGUAAACUAACAUUUAAACAAACAAAAAGUUAUUCAUAUUUCAAUGUCA
Molecule: long non-coding RNA, 1455 nt
Filed under: Oryctolagus cuniculus (rabbit)
Lineage: Eukaryota; Metazoa; Chordata; Mammalia; Lagomorpha; Leporidae
Description: lncRNA (ENSOCUG00000035092.1)
Source: RNAcentral